This 1201-nucleotide long non-coding RNA is filed under the name Citrus x clementina. Its description in RNAcentral is "Citrus clementina (C. clementina) long non-coding RNA (CCLE_LNC003658)". The record is from RNAcentral. Lineage: Eukaryota; Viridiplantae; Streptophyta; Magnoliopsida; Sapindales; Rutaceae.
UUUGUGCUAAACCUGUUCACAUCGAAAAUUGUGCUAUUCCUGAUAUGGUUAGUCCUUUGAACUGCUUCAAUAUCCUUUUUCACGUUAAAAAAGAAGGGUCUAACUAUUGUGGUAUGGUGGUACCAUACCACAGCUGCACCUAACCAUUGAAUUCAGCUAUAGUACAGCUGCACCUAACCAUUGAAUUCAGCUAUAGUACAUGUGUCCAGAUCUAAUGGUUAGGUGCAGUUGCACCGUAGUUUUGUCCCAAAAAGAAUUCAUAAUUGAGUGUUCUCCAUUAAUGAUGCUGCAAGCUGUCAGUUAUGGUCCCCUUGUGACCCUUUUUAAUCUCCUGGGAUACAAAGCUAUUCAGCCAUACAAUCUCAACUCUUUGAACACAAUCCGAUUGUUUAUAGGAUCCCUCUAAGUUACAUGCACGUACCUUACAACCCUCUCACAUGAAUAGUGAGUGGACCCACAUCAUUCACUAUUCAUGUGAGAGGGUUGUAAGGUACAUGCAUGUAACUUAGCAUUAGCCUUGUUUAUAUCAUCCUAAAAUCUUUUGAUAACUUGAUUGAGCUAAAUAGUUUAUGUAAAUCGUCUCAACAAUAUAUAUAUAUAUUUAUUUAGUGUUGUACUGGAAGGAUCUAUCAGUUGUGUAUAGUACUCCAAUUUACAUCUAAAAUUUUUGUCUUUGGAAGUGUCUGCAUCCGCAAAUAUGCAGUGGGGAUGCCUUAUUUGACAGUUGUACUGGUACUGACUAUAUUAAAAAUGGAAACAGAGAAGUCUCAGUGGAAUCAAGCGAAAAAGAUCGACUGAUUUACCAGCAUUUUAUGUGCAAAUCAUUUUCAGCUUUGGCUGUGGCUUCCAAUUUCUUUCAAAUAGGAAACUAGAAAAGCAUCCUCAAGUUCAAAGAUUUAUUAAAUCCUACAAAAUCUUGGCCGUUGAUAUAUACUAAAUCUAAUCGCCAGAAAUUAGUGUAAAAAUAUGUAUAAUUUUAGGGGGUUGCCGAUUCGUCCCAUAUGUAUAUAUAGCACUUUCAGCGGCGGCUAUAGUUGAUUGUUGACACCGAAGUUGCUUUUUUGAGAAUUAGCUUAUGUGACAGCCAGCUGCUACCACUUCAGCUCAUUGGAAAAACGAAAUGCCUGUAACAUGCAAAUAUUGAGUUGUUAAGUGGCAAAUUUCGAACAUGAUGUUAUCCUUAUAAUUUAGUGCAAACGAG